GUCCCCUAUGCAAUUUUCCUUUUCGUAAACCAUCGUUGCCAUUUGGAACGGUCGUUGUCAUUUUAAGAACGGUCGUUGCCAUUUAAAAAAACGUGGGGCGAGUUCGUCGAGUCAAUAUUUACUCGGAGUUUCGUCGGCCCGUUGAACUAUAGUCCAUAUCACGUCGGAAAAAACAAAUUUCCAAAAUGGCGGACAUGAACGACUUGAUCAAAGCUGCGAUAGAAGAAGUAAAUUCUCAAUCCAAACCUUUUGAAAGUAAAUCUAUUGACGAAAAUAGAUUCAUCGAAACACUCCCAGAAGACUGUACUUAUCACGUGAAAGAGCUUUCGGGUGUAGAGGAGAAGUUCAAGGCGAUUAUCCAAACAGAAGAGGUAACUACCGAGAAUCUAGAUGGAUGGCUGGACGAAUAUGAAGCGAUUAACAGCAUUACUGUUCGAAUCAAGACCAAGAAAAAGCCAACAAAACGGUGUGCCCUGAAAAACUAUUAUAGGUGCCACCACAACACCAGGAACUGGAGCCCAAGCAAGGACCCACAGAAGAAGUUACUGCUGAACCCUUCUGCAAGGGUAAAAAACACUAACUGCCCUUUCCAAAUGUUUGUCAAGAUCGCUUGUGAUGGCUGUUGCACGAUUGAGAUUACUUGGGAUCAGAAUCAUUCAGUCGAUACUCUUGAAGCCUCGAAUUUUCAUGAUGUUUUACCAGAAGUUAUUGACAAAGUAAUGAAACUCUUUGAAAGUGGCUGCACCCCAUCCACUGCUAGACAGCAGUGCCUGAAAGACUUGAGAGAGUCAUGCAAGGAUGAACUUGACUACCACGGGAAAAAGGCCAAUCGGUCUUUAAUGCCAAGAAGGAGAGAUUUUUCGUAUCUAUACACCCAGAUGUGCAAGGAGAGAUAUGGCGGGACAGGCCACUUGAUGUUUUCAAAAAUGGUAGAAAAAUUAGAAUACAGAAAAGCAAACCCAGAAGCUAGCACAAUGCACCAAAUUUAUGGAGGUGAGGAUACACCUCUGAUAAUUACAGUUAUCUCACCACUUAUGAAACGUGUGCACAAGAAGUCCAGCAAUCAGCCGAACUAGUUUUUAUUGAUGCCACUUCAAAUACCGAAGAACACAACUUAAAAGUGUUUGUUGUGUGCACGCACAAUGUUGCUGGAGCUCUGCCAUUAGGUAUCCUUAUUACAAGUGAUGAAAGAAAAAAAUCCUUGAAGCAGGGUUUUGAGAUGCUACAGUCAUGCUUGCCAGACUAUGCUUUUUAUGGCCGUGGACCAAAAGUUGGCCCUGAGGUCAUUUUAACCGACAAUUGCAAAGAGGAACGCAAUGCUCUCAACUCAGUGUGGCCAUCCUGUAAACUGCUUCUAUGCAUUUUUCACAUGCUUCAGCAGGUUUGGAGGUGGCUACAUGAGACCAGCCAUGGUAUCAAUCAAGUUGAUCGUCCCUACAUCCUCAGUCUUUUUAAGAAGAGCUUGUAUGCAGAAACAGAGGAACUGUUUGAGGACUGCUUUUCUGAACUGUUGAAUGAUGACAAAUGCAAAUGUUAUCCAAAUCUGGUUGACUAUUUGGGAACUCUGUAUAUUGAGAAGGAGGCAUUUGCUCUUUGCUUUCGUACAGAACUACGAGUAAGAGGCAACCACACUAAUAAUUUUGCUGAGGCACAGUUUUUAGUACUGAAGGAUACAAUUCUGAGGAGAGUUAAGAAGUACAACGUUGUCGGGCUUAUCAGCAAGCUCACAGUUGAGUUGGAGGACCACUAUAAAGACAAAUUGUUCUCCAUAGCUGAUGGCAGCUUUGAUGGUCUUUACAGACGGCGCUUUAUGGGUAAAGGAACGGAUGGUAGCUCAGGUUUUCGCACUCCUGAUUUAAGGGAACGCGACUUGUAUCUAUCAACUGUUGAAAAGUUCAACAAUGAUGUGUUUAAAGUUAGGAGCUCAUCAAAGAACAAUGAAAGCUAUACAGUUGACAUGACACUUGGGAUGUGUAGUUGUGAAGUGGGAAAAGAUGGAAGCCCUUGCAAGCAUCAGUAUGUAUUUUGGUCUGCAAAUAAAGCCCAUUGUAUCAAUUUUGUUCCAGUGACUCAGCCAGAAAUGAGACAGAAAUUGGCUUGGAUUGCCAUAGGAGAAUCACUGCCUCUUUCAUGUUAUAGCACUUUGCGUGCCCGAGAAAGCAGUAACCCUGGGGUAAAUGUACUACCUGAUUCGGAUUCUGAUGAUCAGGAUGCAUCACAGUCCUAUCUUGAUGAAACAAUUCAAGACGUGUCAAUGCCUGACACCACAUCAGUAACUGGUGAUGCAGAAGAUUCUUCUAUUGAAACAGCAGCAGAUGCACUUAUGAAGUCUUGCAAUUUGAUAACAGAAAAGCUUAAAAACACAGGGGAUGCAAACUUAGCCAAAGGUUUCAUGCAAUUCUCAAAAAGAGUUGCAUCUUUGACAUCUCCAACAUCAAUGCACGCAAAACUUACAACUGCCCUUUUCAACUUUGGAUCUGUUGAAACUAAAAAAACAGGAAAGGGGAAGAAAAUUAGAGUACAACCCAACAGAAAAAGUAAAAAUGGGAAUGGAAGCCAGCAGGCCACCCUUAAGGGUAGACCAGUACAGCUGCAGUCAUUACAAGGGCCUACAAGAAAACGCAAGCGUGGCCAUGACCUGGCUAAAGCGGUACAGUCCAACACACAAGGCAGUAAGAAAUCUGGCUCACAUACAAUGAUGUCAAAAACAAAGCAUAUGCAGAGGAAAAAAAUGUAGUAAAAAAAGUUGACACUAUUUUUAAAAUUAUUGUAUAGUUUCUUAUUGCCAUAUAUGACCAUGUAUAAGUCAACCGUGUGUAUAAGUCAAACCCCUAAAAUAUUGUAAAAAUUUAUGUUUUUAUGUUGUUUAGUGUCUAAGUUGACCCCUAGUUUUUCCAGGAUUUCUUAUUAAAAACAAGUGUUGCUGCAAAUUA
RNA transcript from Nematostella vectensis (starlet sea anemone), 2933 nucleotides. RefSeq lists it as uncharacterized. The transcript has 2 exons. Lineage: Eukaryota; Metazoa; Cnidaria; Anthozoa; Actiniaria; Edwardsiidae. The record is from RefSeq and is a predicted model, not a curated record.